RNAcentral lists this long non-coding RNA (291 nucleotides) under Hordeum vulgare. RNAcentral describes it as "long non-coding RNA (HVUL_LNC018427)". The record is from RNAcentral. Lineage: Eukaryota; Viridiplantae; Streptophyta; Magnoliopsida; Poales; Poaceae.
CAAGAUCCGCAAGGGAUUGGUGGGGGAAUCAACUUUUCUCUUGGUGGAAGUGUGGAUCUAGGCCUUCUCAACCAACCCCUAAAGAAUCAAUAAGUUUGAUUGGCUAGGGAGAGAGAUCGGGCACUUUUGAGCUUAGGGAGCAACAAUGGAGCUUGGGAGGGAAAGAGAUGGGGUUCCAUAGCUAGAAGAACCCUUUAUAUAGUGGGGGGGAAAAUCCAACCGUUUUCCCACUCACAGCCCGUGCCUAGCGGUACUACCGCUGGCUGCAGCGGUACUACCGCUGGGCCCCUG